UACGUAGGCGGAAGAUUAAGUCAGUGGUGAAAUCCUGCAGCUUAACUGUAGAACUGUCAUUGAUACUGGUUUUCUUGAAUUUAGUUGAGGUAGGCGGAAUGUGUAAUGUAGCGGUGAAAUGCUUAGAUAUUACACAGAACACCGAUUGCGAAGGCAGCUUACUAAGCUAUGAUUGACGCUGAGGUACGAAAGCGUGGGGAGCGAACAGGAUUAGAUACCCUGGUAGUC
Molecule: ribosomal RNA, 228 nt
Filed under: uncultured bacterium
Lineage: Bacteria
Description: partial 16S ribosomal RNA
Rfam family: Bacterial small subunit ribosomal RNA
Source: RNAcentral